Callithrix jacchus (white-tufted-ear marmoset) is the source of this 1666-nucleotide non-coding RNA. The record is from RefSeq and is a predicted model, not a curated record. NCBI's taxonomy places the organism in Eukaryota, Metazoa, Chordata, Mammalia, Primates, Cebidae.
UAGAGGGUUAGGAGGGAGAACUUCACAAAAAUCUGAGGUCAAGGAGGUGUCACCUGAGCCUUUUGAUGAGAGGCAGGGGACUGUCUGGUUAUGUGCAGACUUUGGAGUCAGAUGACCUCAGACCUCAGUUUGGAUCUCAGCUCUGCCAUUUCCUUGCUGUGUGAUUAUGGGUAGCACACCUAACUUUUCUGGGACCCAAUUCUCUUGCCUACAAAAUUGAGAUGAUAAUACCUAUUUUAUAAAAGGAAAUGAUUGAAAGCAGAUGGAAUCAGAUAGUAUAUGAUAGAUAAUAUAUGAAAGUGUUUAGCACGGGCAGCACACACUGAGUGGUAGCUAAGUGGUAGUGACUUCAUCACUGUUAGCUGUUCUCUUUUUCCACUAGAAGAAGAAAAAAAAACCUUCCUUGUAACAAAAGACUCUAGCUGAGGCUUGUCACCAGGUAGCUGAGGCUUGUCACCGGGUGAUAUGGAUGUUGAGUCACUGGAUGUUGGUGAUGGGCUCAAGUCUCGUGACUCAAAGUAUGAUCCUGGGGCUGGCAGCAUCAGCAUGUUGGAAAUGCAGAAUCUCAUCUUCCACCCCGUGCACACUGAUUAAGAAUCUGCUUUUCCAUGAACAAAAUGCCCACGUGCUCAUUAGAUUGCAAGGUUCUGGACUGGGGCACGCUGGGAGAGUCCUUCUGUGGUCACUCCAGUAGCUUCUCCCCUUCUUUCCUGUGCUAACAGGCAUCUGCCUGCAGACAGGUAGGCACUGUGUAAUCAGCGGUGUACAGAACAGUGAGGAUUCCAGGUUGAACCCAGACCAGGGCGGUGAUGAGCUUUGGCACCAGCAGGACUGCAGUCUGAUGAACUUCCCCUUUCUGCCCAGCAGAUGGUGAGCAUGUGCUGCUGCUGCCUCUUUCUGAAGGUCGUUGAAUUACAUGACAGGUAUUCUUUACUUUAUGAAUGAAGCCAAAGCAGCCCACCUUUCUGCAUCUCUACCAUCAUGGCACCAUGCCCUGUGAUGGAUGGGCUGCAGUCGAAUAUGUAGCAGCCUUCUUCAUGGGAAUGCUUAAUUCUUCGGUCCAUGUCUUCAUGUACCUGUAUUAUGGACUGGCCAGGCUGUGGCCUCUUAUGUGGCCCUACCUCUGGUGGAAACGAUGUCUUACCACCCUACAGCUGGGUCAGUUUGUGGCCACUGCUGUCUUCCUACAGUUUCCUCAUCGAGUACCCCUUCCCUGAUGAGUUCAACGUGUCUGUGCUCCUGUAAGCCCUCAGCCUCCUCAUUCUGUUCCUCAACUUCUACCACGGGACACGCCUGAGGGGCAAGCAAGAGAGGCUGAGCUAGGAGCAGGACCCAGGGACUGAAACCAGCACAGCAUCCCCAGGGAGAAUUGGGUGGAAGGUAGCAUGGCUUCCAGCUUACUGGUGCUGAGCAGAUUUCUCUGGGUCUCCAUCGUAUCCUCUGAAGGAAGAAGGAGGACUGACUUCUGUCCAGAUCUCAGGAUCAAAGAAAUAUAUCCAACGUCCUGUGGUCACUUGAGUCAGAGCACUUCUCAUGUGGCUUUGUAGCUUUGUGUGCAUCUCCUUCCUCUAUGAGACCUAAGCCCCUCACGGGAGGGCCUCUCUUAUUCUCGAUGUUCCCCAUACCUGGUACAGCAUCUCAAUAAAUGUGUGUUUGGAUCCUUGGA